UAGGGAAUCUUCGGCAAUGGGGGCAACCCUGACCGAGCAACGCCGCGUGAGUGAAGAAGGUUUUCGGAUCGUAAAGCUCUGUUGUAAGUCAAGAACGGGUGUGAGAGUGGAAAGUUCACACUGUGACGGUAGCUUACCAGAAAGGGACGGCUAACUACGUGCCAGCAGCCGCGGUAAUACGUAGGUCCCGAGCGUUGUCCGGAUUUAUUGGGCGUAAAGCGAGCGCAGGCGGUUUGAUAAGUCUGAAGUUAAAGGCUGUGGCUCAACCAUAGUUCGCUUUGGAAACUGUCAAACUUGAGUGCAGAAGGGGAGAGUGGAAUUCCAUGUGUAGCGGUGAAAUGCGUAGAUAUAUGGAGGAACACCGGUGGCGAAAGCGGCUCUCUGGUCUGUAACUGACGCUGAGGCUCGAAAGCGUGGGGAGCGAACAGGAUUAGAUACCCUGGUAGUCCACGCCGUAAACGAUGAGUGCUAGGUGUUGGAUCCUUUCCGGGAUUCAGUGCCGCAGCUAACGCAUUAAGCACUCCGCCUGGGGGAGUACGACCGC
This 544-nucleotide ribosomal RNA is filed under the name uncultured bacterium. RNAcentral describes it as "partial 16S ribosomal RNA". It matches the Rfam family "Bacterial small subunit ribosomal RNA", at positions 355 to 889 of the family's 1533-position model. The record is from RNAcentral.